GUGCCAGCCGCCGCGGUAAUACGUAGGGUGCGAGCGUUAAUCGGAAUUACUGGGCGUAAAGCGUGCGCAGGCGGUUUUGUAAGACAGGCGUGAAAUCCCCGAGCUUAACUUGGGAAUGGCGCUUGUGACUGCAAGGCUAGAGUAUGUCAGAGGGGGGUAGAAUUCCACGUGUAGCAGUGAAAUGCGUAGAGAUGUGGAGGAAUACCGAUGGCGAAGGCAGCCCCCUGGGACGUCACUGACGCUCAUGCACGAAAGCGUGGGGAGCAAACAGGAUUAGAUACCCUUGUAGUCC
RNAcentral lists this ribosomal RNA (292 nucleotides) under uncultured bacterium. RNAcentral's name for it is "partial 16S ribosomal RNA". It matches the Rfam family "Bacterial small subunit ribosomal RNA", at positions 505 to 796 of the family's 1533-position model. The record is from RNAcentral.